Molecule: ribosomal RNA, 1602 nt
Filed under: Triticum aestivum (bread wheat)
Lineage: Eukaryota; Viridiplantae; Streptophyta; Magnoliopsida; Poales; Poaceae
Description: partial small subunit ribosomal RNA
Source: RNAcentral
AUGGCGGCGCCGUCGGCAGCCAUGCGCAAGAAGCUGCAGCGCAAAUUCCGGCUGCGUGGCUUCACCCUCAAAGUUGACGCCCUCGAGGAGGCGGCCGCCUUCCUCGCCCGCUUCCCCGACGCCGAGGACGAGGCCCUCGACCUCCUCCUCGACGAGCUCGACAAAGAGCCGCUGAAGUCGUCGAUACUGGACCGGGACGCGGUCCGUCGCGUGGUGUCCCUACUGGUCGAGGCGGAGGAGGCGGUCGACGCGGCAUCGCCUUCCGCCACCAGCGUCCAGGCGGCGCUGCGGGUGGUGGACUCGUUCGUCGUGCCGCGGUUCCACUACGACCCAAUCAAGAAAGUGUUCUACGAGCAUACUGGAAGAUUAGCCCUCCAUGGAGAAGCUGGAGAUAAAGCCGCCCUUUACAGGGAUAGAUAUCAAGUGCUGCUUCAGAGGCUCGCUCGUGAUAAAUAUUUCUCCAAGCCAGCUUUUGAGUCUGUUAUGACUGAAAAUGAAAGUUGUGAGAUUACUUCCAUACAGUCCUUAGUUGGGUGUACUGGGCGGAGAUGGAUCAUGGGGGUCAUAUCGCAGUUGGAGGAACGCCAGUUCUACUUGGAGGAUCUUACUGGAGCAGUGCCAAUUGACUUGGCGAAUGCAAAAAUCACUUCAGGUUUCUUUGUUGAAAACACAGUGAUUGUAGCAGAAGGAGAAUUACUUUCAAGUGGCAUUUUCCAGGUCAAUACCUGUGGGUUUCCUCCCUUAGAGGACAGAGAAACAUCACUUUCACUGCUUAUGGGUCUUGAUUUCUUUGGUGGAGGUGUCAUACCAACUGAAGAAGCACUAAGAUUGUCAUCACUAGAAAAUAAGGCUGUGAACGACAUGUUUGUCAUUCUUUCAGAUGUUUGGCUCGACAGUUAUGAGACUAUGGAGAAGUUGGGUGUUGUUCUUGAUGGCUAUGAAAGUGUGGAAGUAGUUCCUUCUCUCUUUGUUCUAAUGGGAAAUUUCUGCUCCCGGCCCUGCAAUCUGGCAUUCAAUUCGUUUGAAGAACUCAGAUUGCAGUUUGGAAAGCUUGGUGAGAUGAUCGCAUCUCGAACUAGGUUAAAGGAACAUAGUCGUUUUUUAUUCAUUCCUGGUCCUGAUGAUGCAGGACCUUCUAAAGCUCUCCCAAGGUGUGCGCUCCCAAAGUAUCUAAUUGAGGAACUUCAGAAGCACAUCCCAAAUGCUAUAUUUGUAAGCAACCCCUGCAGGGUUAAGUUUUAUACACAAGAAAUAGUGUUUUUCCGGCAAGAUCUCCUUUACAGGAUGCGGCGGUCAUGCUUGAUUCCACCAACAACGGAAGAAACAAGUGACCCAUUUGAACAUCUAGUAGCAACUAUCACCCAUCAGAGUCAUCUGUGUCCAUUGCCUCUUACAGUGCAACCUAUUAUAUGGAACUACGAUCAUUGCCUACGGCUAUAUCCAACUCCUGACAUGAUAGUAUUGGCUGACAAGAGUGAGCAGAAGGCCUUCAAAUAUACAGGAAUCACUUGCUUCAAUCCUGGUUCUUUUGCGAACGACAGCACUUUUGCAGCAUACCGUCCUUGCACUAAGGAGGUUGAGCUUUCUGCAUUAGAAAGCUAA